Molecule: long non-coding RNA, 626 nt
Organism: Cervus elaphus (red deer)
Lineage: Eukaryota; Metazoa; Chordata; Mammalia; Artiodactyla; Cervidae
Exons: 3
Source: RefSeq, a predicted model, not a curated record
GAGCCGGGGUGGCCGAGCACGCUGCCGGAGUAGAAGCACAGCUCGGCUGACCGUCCGCGGCGUCCGCCUGCGCCGGCCUCCUCCACCUCGAAGCCUCCGGACAGGAAGCGCAGGUCGCGGCGCAUCUGCAGGGCGUGGUGGCUGGAAUCCUCUCCUGUUUGUCCACUCCACCCUCCACUGCUCCAGGGGCUGCCACUCAUUGCUGGGCAUCUGAAGCUUCUGGAAGUCUCCACACACAUCCUGCUCAUGGCCAGACUGUGCUUCUGAGGUCGCAGCCUGCCUUGGAGUGAGUGUCUAUAGCCUUGAAGUGUCCUCACUGUUGAAAAGACAACUCCAUGCUUACGUCCUGCUGAAGGUCAGCGGAGGCACCAUCUAGCCAGGAGACAAGCCUUGCAGCCUGCAUGUCCGAAUGAACAGGAUAAGGGUCUUCAGUGCUAGAGCUCACAGCUUCAUCCCAACCAGCUCCCCUUGAUGAGGAUGAUUGAGAAAAGCAACGUAUUUCUCAUUGUUUUGUAAAGCGCCUUUCUCUUUUCCCGUGUCUUUCUCUUCUUUUAGCAUUUCCUCUCAAGAUUCCCUUCUUCCUCUCCUAGUCCUUUCUUUGCUCAAAGAAGUCACCUUCUCUGGUA